CUCGAUUUGGAAGGACCCAAACCGCCGCCGCCAUGGAGACCAUUGCCCGCGUGUCGUGAGAGGCUGUCCCGUGGAAGCGCCGUCGUCGACUACGUCGCCUUGGAGGAGUCGUUCGAGCUGGAUAUCCCCGCGGUGCCCGAUCCAUCCUCGUCUUCCCCGUCCCCCGCCGUCGCGUCUCCGUCUCCUCCCCGACCGGCCUCGUUGAGCCUCGCCGCCCCUGUUCCCCUGCUCGUGGACCCCGAGACUGCCGCCGUGUUCAACUACGUCGACAACAACCCCUCCUUGUCGGAGCAACCAGGAUGCUAG
Molecule: ribosomal RNA, 306 nt
Filed under: Triticum aestivum (bread wheat)
Lineage: Eukaryota; Viridiplantae; Streptophyta; Magnoliopsida; Poales; Poaceae
Description: partial small subunit ribosomal RNA
Source: RNAcentral